AACGCGAAGAACCUUACCUGGCCUUGACAUGGUAGGAACCCUUAAGAGAUUAGGGGGUGCUAGCUUGCUAGAACCUACACACAGGUGCUGCACGGCUGUCGUCAGCUCGUGUCGUGAGAUGUUGGGUUAAGUCCCGCAACGAGCGCAACCCUCGUCCUUAGUUGCUAACAGUUCGGCUGAGCACUCUAAGGAGACUGCCUUCGCAAGGAGGAGGAAGGUGAGGACGACGUCAAGUCAACAUGGCCCUUACGGCCAGGGCUACACACGUGCUACAAUGGGGCGUACAGAGAGCUGCAAUACCGCGAGGUGGAGCCAAUCUCUUAAAGCGUCUCUCAGUUCGGAUUGUUCUCUGCAACUCGAGAACAUGAAGCUGGAAUCACUAGUAAUCGCAGAUCAGCUAUGCUGCGGUGAAUACGUUCCCGGGUCUUGUACACACCG
RNAcentral lists this ribosomal RNA (438 nucleotides) under uncultured Sulfuricurvum sp. Its description in RNAcentral is "bacterial SSU rRNA". It matches the Rfam family "Bacterial small subunit ribosomal RNA", at positions 958 to 1392 of the family's 1533-position model. Lineage: Bacteria; Pseudomonadati; Campylobacterota; Epsilonproteobacteria; Campylobacterales; Sulfurimonadaceae. The record is from RNAcentral.